Molecule: ribosomal RNA, 1529 nt
Filed under: Lecidella stigmatea
Lineage: Eukaryota; Fungi; Ascomycota; Lecanoromycetes; Lecanorales; Lecanoraceae
Description: eukaryotic LSU rRNA
Rfam family: Eukaryotic large subunit ribosomal RNA
Source: RNAcentral
ACGGCGAGUGAAGCGGCAACAGCUCAAAUUUGAAAUCUGGCUCCUUCGGGGCCCGAGUUGUAAUUUGUAGAGGAUGUUUCGGGCGCGGCGCCGGUCUAAGUCCCUUGGAACAGGGCGUCACAGAGGGUGAGAAUCCCGUAUGUGACCGGCGACCAACCCCAUGUGAAACCCCUUCGACGAGUCGAGUUGUUUGGGAAUGCAGCUCAAAAUGGGUGGUAAAUUUCAUCUAAAGCUAAAUACCGGCCAGAGACCGAUAGCGCACAAGUAGAGUGAUCGAAAGAUGAAAAGCACUUUGGAAAGAGAGUCAAACAGUACGUGAAAUUGUUGAAAGGGAAGCGCUUGCAACCAGACCUGUCCGCGGGCGUUCCACCUCCGUUCUCGGGGGCCCACUCGCCCGUGAUCAGGCCAGCAUCGGUUCGGGCGGCCGGAUAAAGGCCUUGGGAAUGUAGCUCCCCUCGGGGAGAACUUAUAGCCCUCGGUGCAAUGCGGUCAGCCCGGACCGAGGACCGCGCUUCGGCUAGGAUGCUGGCGUAAUGGUUGUAAGCGACCCGUCUUGAAACACGGACCAAGGAGUUAAUUAUCUAUGCGAGUGUUUGGGUGUUAAACCCAUGCGCGUAAUGAAAGUGAACGGAGGUGAGAACCCUUAAGGGCGCAUCAUCGACCGAUCCUGAUGUCUUCGGAUGGAUUUGAGUACGAGCAUAGCUAAUUUGACCCGAAAGAUAGUGAACUAUACCUGAAUAGGGUGAAGCCAGAGGAAACUCUGGUGGAGGCUCGCAGCGGUUCUGACGUGCAAAUCGAUCGUCAAAUUUGGGUAUAGGGGCGAAAGACUAAUCGAACUAUCUAGUAGCUGGUUCCUGCCGAAGUUUCCCUCAGGAUAGCAGUAACGUUUUCAGUUUUAUGAGGUAAAGCGAAUGAUUAGAGGCCUUGGGGUUGAAACAACCUUAACCUAUUCUCAAACUUUAAAUAUGUAAGAAGUCCUUGUUACUUAGUUGAACGUGGACAUUUGAAUGCACCGUUACUAGUGGGCCAUUUUUGGUAAGCAGAACUGGCGAUGCGGGAUGAACCGAACGCGAGGUUAAGGUGCCGGAAUGUACGCUCAUCAGACACCACAAAAGGUGUUGAUUCAUCUAGACAGCCGGACGGUGGCCAUGGAAGUCGGAAUCCGCUAAGGAGUGUGUAAUCGGGUUGUUGCACACCAGAGUCGGGCUUCGGCCUGGCUAACGGCGGGCUUGCUCCGAGGAAGCCCGCUUGUGAUAGCUCUAGGAUGCCUGGAGGCGCCCCUGAACGGGGCUGCUACCGGCAGUGGGAGGCGAACGCCCCCAUCCACAGACUAAACGGAGCUGACCGGGGAACUUUGGCGUUCCCCGGUGAAGAUAUAGUCGUCCCGGGCCCUGAAAAGGCGCCCCGCCGCGAGAACAACUCACCGGCCGAAUGAAUCAGCCCUGAAAAUGGAUGGCGCUCAAGCGUGCUACCCAUACCUCGCCGCCAGGGUAGAAACGAUGCCCUGGCGAGUAGGCAGGCGUGGGGGU